Long non-coding RNA from Octopus sinensis (East Asian common octopus), 317 nucleotides. RefSeq lists it as uncharacterized. NCBI's taxonomy places the organism in Eukaryota, Metazoa, Mollusca, Cephalopoda, Octopoda, Octopodidae. The transcript has 3 exons. The record is from RefSeq and is a predicted model, not a curated record.
AGUCGCGCGCGGCCUCUUUGCGGAGGUCGCGAGCGACGCGGCCGCCCGCGCGCCGCGACUGCGCGGAAACCCUCGCAAGGGGGGCGACGCGAAUUGCGGUCGCGGGACACCUUCCGCUCGAAAAGCCGCCCGCUGCCGCCGGUCAGCGACGAGCAUCGGCAACCUACCCGACCCGUCUUGAAACACGGACCGAGGAGUCCCAGUCGACUGCGAAUCGUUGGAGCCUUUCACUUCGCGAACUCCGACGGCACAGCGAAAGCGAGAACGUGACACGACGUCGCCGCUCGAGGCUAACAAAAAGGAGGGGAGAAAGGGAG